Molecule: non-coding RNA, 29 nt
Filed under: Mus musculus (house mouse)
Lineage: Eukaryota; Metazoa; Chordata; Mammalia; Rodentia; Muridae
Source: RNAcentral
UGCUAGUUCGGUGCCCGUGAUUUGAGAGC